UCCUACACUGUUCGCUCUGCCUUCUUUGUGGAAAUCUCACAUAAAGGCUCUGGCCUUUGCCUUCUCCUUGCUCCUGUCAUCUGCCUCUUGACCAUCCUCACAUUUCCUUUGUGGCCCUGUUCCCUUCUCUCAGGUGUGGCAUGAUCCCUUCUCUCAGGAAAUUCCAGAGGCAGUUGGUGUAUCUAUUAAAGGAUGACUUAAAGACAAACAUGACUUGGAUGUUAGGUAGCACACUGCUCCAGAGAGUAGUUCAACUCUUAUCCCUACUGGAAUCACUUGUUUACAGUACAGAGUAGCGAUCACUCACCCCACCCUCUAGAGUAAAGGUGGCAUGCAAUAGUGAAGCUGUGAAGACUGGUGGAACCACAAAUAGAAGGGUCCUAAGUCCCAGAAUUACCAUGGAAGAAAGUCUCCUGCAAAUUGGACAGAUAUACCAAGGGGAUGAACUCUUCCAUCAUCUCAUAAAAAUAUCAGGCCGUGAAGCAACAUAAAGAGAGAAAACAUGCAAGGCAAUGUGUCUCCCGUCUCUGAUUUAUUCAUCUCAAUUGGA
RNAcentral lists this long non-coding RNA (550 nucleotides) under Homo sapiens (human). RNAcentral describes it as "HSALNT0336825". The record is from RNAcentral. Lineage: Eukaryota; Metazoa; Chordata; Mammalia; Primates; Hominidae.